This 467-nucleotide ribosomal RNA is filed under the name uncultured bacterium. Its description in RNAcentral is "partial 16S ribosomal RNA". It matches the Rfam family "Bacterial small subunit ribosomal RNA", at positions 28 to 507 of the family's 1533-position model. The record is from RNAcentral.
GACGAACGCUGGCGGCGUGCUUAACACAUGCAAGUCGAACGGAAAGGCCCUGCUUUUGUGGGGUGCUCGAGUGGCGAACGGGUGAGUAACUCGUGAGUAACCUGCCCUUGACUUUGGGAUAACUUCAGGAAACUGGGGCUAAUACCGGAUAGGAGCUCCUGCUGCAUGGUGGGGGUUGGAAAGUUUCGGCGGUUGGGGAUGGACUCGCGGCUUAUCAGCUUGUUGGUGGGGUAGUGGCUUACCAAGGCUUCGACGGGUAGCCGGCCUGAGAGGGUGACCGGCCACAUGGGGACGGGGUUACGGCCCAGACUCCUACGGGAGGCAGCGGUGGGGAAUAUUGCACAAGGGGCGGAGGCCUGAUGCAGAAACGCCGGGUGCGGAAGGACGCCUUUCGGUUGGUAACCGCUUUCGCCUGUGACGAAGCGUGAGUGACGGUAAUGGGUAAAGAAGCACCGGCUAACUACGUG